UACGAAGGGGGCUAGCGUUGUUCGGAAUCACUGGGCGUAAAGCGCACGUAGGCGGAUGUGCCAGUCAGGGGUGAAAUCCCGGAGCUCAACUUCGGAACUGCCUCUGAUACAGCACGUCUUGAGUCCGGAAGAGGUGGGUGGAAUUCCGAGUGUAGAGGUGAAAUUCGUAGAUAUUCGGAAGAACACCAGUGGCGAAGGCGACUCACUGGACACGUAUUGACGCUGAGGUGCGAAAGCGUGGGGAGCAAACAGG
RNAcentral lists this ribosomal RNA (253 nucleotides) under uncultured bacterium. RNAcentral's name for it is "partial 16S ribosomal RNA". It matches the Rfam family "Bacterial small subunit ribosomal RNA", at positions 524 to 776 of the family's 1533-position model. The record is from RNAcentral.